UUUAUUUCUUUUUCAACAAAUUAUUCUCCUGAGCGGUCGUGCUCCGUAGAGAUAAAACAAAAAUGACUUUGCUAAUGCAGACAUACAACGGUGGAAUGUUCCACAAGCACAGAAUAAGCUAAUUAUAACUGAGGAUGCAAUUAAAAUGCCUGGAUUAAAAAGCUGCAUAAGAAACCACGUGGUCGUAGAGACAGCCGGCAUGGAGCUCCAUAGAUUCCCCUCAAUGGCAGUUGCAGUUCACAAGAUGCAUCUUAUUGACCUGAAAACACGUGCUUAAGAAUGGCGUUGAAUGGUGGAAGCACAUUUUGGAAAAACCCUCAAAAUAAAACAUCUAUAAUGAUGAUCUUUGAGAGAAAAAUACCCUUUCCUAGAAGGUUGAAGCUUCUGUUUUAUGAGGAUUAACCCUAUGGUCUGGAACAUUCCUUGCAAGGAAAUGACACCAUUUCUCAUUCAAAACUAAGCUUCUUCUGGACUGAGUUGGGAAAUUUUACUGAAUGGAGCGUUAAUUGUUGUGGUGUGGAUGGUCAGCUAAUAUCCUGAACCGUUCCUGAAACACUAGACCUAUAAGAUUCAGAUAUUAAGAUGGUCAGAUGUUAUUUGCGAGGUGGAAAAGUAUUUUGGGUAUCUAUAUUAAAGAUUCUUUAAAAAAUGGAAAUCGAAGACUACUUUUAAAGAGAAGUAUGGAGUGAAUGAUGAAUAAAUGAUCCUAAUACUUAUGGUCUAAUGGUCUAAGUUGACGAGGUGAUUCCAGAUACAGAUAGAUUCCAGUUUUUAAUGGAAUCAUUCAGAUUUUCCUUUGAUUCCAAAGUCUUCAACGCAAAAAUUACUAUUCAUCUUUAUAUACUAAUAAAAAUAAAUAAUAUUAAAAAUUAAA
This 874-nucleotide small RNA is filed under the name Drosophila ananassae. RNAcentral describes it as "GF28183". Lineage: Eukaryota; Metazoa; Arthropoda; Insecta; Diptera; Drosophilidae. The record is from RNAcentral.